AGACAGAGGUGGCAAGCGUUGUUCGGAAUUACUGGGCGUAAAGGGCGCGUAGGCGGUUCGUUAAGUCCUGUGUGAAAUCCCCCGGCUCAACUGGGGAACUGCACAGGAAACUAGCGGGCUUGAGUUCGGGAGAGGGAAGCGGAAUUCCGGGUGUAGCGGUGAAAUGCGUAGAUAUCGGGAGGAACACCAGUGGCGAAGCGGCGAUCUGGGAAGAUACUGACGCUGAGGUGCGAAAGCGUGGGAGCAACAGG
RNAcentral lists this ribosomal RNA (251 nucleotides) under uncultured bacterium. RNAcentral's name for it is "partial 16S ribosomal RNA". It matches the Rfam family "Bacterial small subunit ribosomal RNA", at positions 523 to 776 of the family's 1533-position model. The record is from RNAcentral.